Molecule: long non-coding RNA, 750 nt
Filed under: Helianthus annuus (common sunflower)
Lineage: Eukaryota; Viridiplantae; Streptophyta; Magnoliopsida; Asterales; Asteraceae
Source: RNAcentral
AUGCCUUUUGAAACAGAAGAUUCAAUUUAUGAAAAUAAAAUGAUUUUGGUUUUUUCUUUCUCUUGGACUUCAACCAAGAUUUCGUCUCUCUCUAACAAAUAUAUCCGUAUGAUUUGGUUUUGAUGUAACGAUAAAUAUUAUUAGAUUUCAUCCAAGUUCAUCAACAAGAGACAUCAAAAUUUGUUUUAAAAAGGUUCAAUUUCAAACACAAUUCAAGUUCCCUGAUAUGUAUAAUCGAUCACAAACAAUAGAUUGCAAUUCAAGUUCGAUGAUGAUGAACUUAUUGUAAACAAUCGAACAACAAUCCAAACCGAUGCACCGGACUACAUGUAAACAUUCAUAAAGGUUUGACAAGCAACGAAUAGACGUGUCUAUUCCAAGCAGCAUUCAUAAACCUAUGCGUUGCAUCUUUUACGGAACCGUCAUGUCUAUUCCGUAACAUCCUUCGGUGAUAGGGAUCAUUAGGGUCAUCAAAUUGGUACCAGCGCAAAGGUUGUGAAGAAUGGAUCAAGAAGAAGAACACGAUUAGGAGGGGAGGUUGUGUCGUUUCGAUUACCGAUCAUAUAAGAAGAAGGAAAGAAAUCAGGGAGACCGAUUCGGUUGUUAAAAUCCCAAAGCUUUGUUGAACGCAUCAAGAAGUGCGUUGAUAUGAUUUUAAUGUAUUAGUCUAUUUAAACUACGAUGUUGUUGCCAAAAAUUGUGAUUGAUUUCUAGAAAACUGCUUUUGAUCCGAAAGAAAUGAUUGUGCAA